AUUGAACGCUGGCGGCAGGCCUAACACAUGCAAGUCGAACGGUAACAGGAAGAAGCUUGCUUCUUUGCUGACGAGUGGCGGACGGGUGAGUAAUGUCUGGGAAACUGCCUGAUGGAGGGGGAUAACUACUGGAAACGGUAGCUAAUACCGCAUAACGUCGCAAGACCUAAGAGGGGGACCUUCGGGCCUCUUGCCAUCGGAUGUGCCCAGAUGGGAUUAGCUAGUAGGUGGGGUAACGGCUCACCUAGGCGACGAUCCCUAGCUGGUCUGAGAGGAUGACCAGCCACACUGGAACUGAGACACGGUCCAGACUCCUACGGGAGGCAGCAGUGGGGAAUAUUGCACAAUGGGCGCAAGCCUGAUGCAGCCAUGCCGCGUGUAUGAAGAAGGCCUUCGGGUAGUAAAGUACUUUCAGCGGGGAGGAAGGGAGUAAAGUUAAUACCUUUGCUCAUUGACGUUACCCGCAGAAGAAGCACCGGCUAACUCCGUG
This 490-nucleotide ribosomal RNA is filed under the name uncultured bacterium. RNAcentral's name for it is "partial 16S ribosomal RNA". It matches the Rfam family "Bacterial small subunit ribosomal RNA", at positions 30 to 507 of the family's 1533-position model. The record is from RNAcentral.